This 253-nucleotide ribosomal RNA is filed under the name uncultured bacterium. RNAcentral's name for it is "partial 16S ribosomal RNA". It matches the Rfam family "Bacterial small subunit ribosomal RNA", at positions 524 to 776 of the family's 1533-position model. The record is from RNAcentral.
UACGGGGGGGGCAAGCGUUGUUCGGAAUUACUGGGCGUAAAGGGCGCGUAGGCGGCCCGCUAAGUCGAACGUGAAAUCCCCGGGCUCAACCCGGGAACUGCGUCCGAUACUGGCAGGCUUGAAUCCGGGAGAGGGAUGCGGAAUUCCAGGUGUAGCGGUGAAAUGCGUAGAUAUCUGGAGGAACACCGGUGGCGAAGGCGGCAUCCUGGACCGGCAUUGACGCUGAGGCGCGAAAGCCAGGGGAGCAAACGGG